GGGCCCGCACAAGCGGUGGAGCAUGUGGUUUAAUUCGAUGCAACGCGCAGAACCUUACCUGGGUUUGACAUCCUCGGAUCGAUACAGAGAUGUAUUUUCCCUUCGGGGCCGAGUGACAGGUGCUGCAUGGCUGUCGUCAGCUCGUGUCGUGAGAUGUUGGGUUAAGUCCCGCAACGAGCGCAACCCUUAUCCUUAGUUGCCAGCGAGUAAUGUCGGGGACUCUAGGGAGACUGCCGGUGCUAAGCCGGAGGAAGGUGGGGAUGACGUCAAGUCCUCAUGGCCCUUAUACCCAGGGCUACACACGUGCUACAAUGGGCGGUACAGCGAGUCGCGAAGCGGUGACGUGGAGCUAAUCUCGAAAAGCCGUCCUCAGUUCGGAUCGCAGUCUGCAACUCGACUGCGUGAAGUCGGAAUCGCUAGUAA
Molecule: ribosomal RNA, 423 nt
Filed under: uncultured bacterium
Lineage: Bacteria
Description: bacterial SSU rRNA
Rfam family: Bacterial small subunit ribosomal RNA
Source: RNAcentral